GGAGGGGUGGCCGAGUGGCUGAAGGCGCAGCAUUGGAAAUGCUGUAUACGGGAAACUGUAUCGAGGGUUCGAAUCCCUCCUCCUCCGCCAU
This 91-nucleotide transfer RNA is filed under the name Chloracidobacterium thermophilum B. RNAcentral's name for it is "tRNA-Ser". It matches the Rfam family "tRNA". From Rfam's summary of the family: Transfer RNA (tRNA) molecules are approximately 80 nucleotides in length. Their secondary structure includes four short double-helical elements and three loops (D, anti-codon, and T loops). The record is from RNAcentral. Lineage: Bacteria; Pseudomonadati; Acidobacteriota; Blastocatellia; Chloracidobacteriales; Chloracidobacteriaceae.